This 511-nucleotide long non-coding RNA is filed under the name Gallus gallus (chicken). Its description in RNAcentral is "long non-coding RNA NONGGAT005396". The record is from RNAcentral. Lineage: Eukaryota; Metazoa; Chordata; Aves; Galliformes; Phasianidae.
GGAAACCAGAGUGACUGCUGGGGUCUGGAGCCUGUGUCAGACCUGAGGUCCUCUCUGUCUCGAAAUGAAAUAUCUCCAAGUCUUCUGCAUCAGGAGGAUCUCUCUCCAAAUGGGUGGAUUCUCACUUACCCCUCCGCCUCCCCCAGACAAAAAAGAAGCAAACAACAUAACAAGAACACCCCGGACCAGGUGGGAUAUGGAUAACAUCAAACAUUGCACCUCACAGCAUGGCAGCUGAUACAAACACGAGGCUGCGAGUUAACACCAGUGUCAUAAAAAGAAAAAAGAGAUGUUCACAAGCUGAACUCUUGUGUUCACCCAUCUCCUUCAGCAUGAAGCAGAGAGCGGUGUCUCUUGUGGCUUUGUCUCCUUGGGCUCAUUGCUGUGGAAUUUGGCUCUUAUGAUGGGGAGGUGAAUCGCGUCCCAUCGCUCCUUAGAGAUGGCUGUGGUUGGGGUCGGUGUGGAGCGUGCCCAUCACGUGGAAGUCCUCAGUCCCCGGUCUCCCUUCCCC